Pelodiscus sinensis (Chinese soft-shelled turtle) is the source of this 1124-nucleotide non-coding RNA. Lineage: Eukaryota; Metazoa; Chordata; Testudines; Trionychidae. The record is from RefSeq and is a predicted model, not a curated record.
GAGACUUUUCAAAGACACCGUAAUAGAGGCCCAACUUGAACCAGAGAAUCAUAGGGCUAGAAGAGACCUCAGGAGGUCAUUGAGACCUACCUCAAAUUAAAAAAAACACAGUAAGAGAACUAUAAAAGUGCCACCACGGCUUAAAGUAGGAAUAAGAGAUCCUCCGGAUUAGGGCUUUAUUCCGGAGGAUCGGGCCAGUCUAGACGCUUUUUUCCGGCUUUUCCCCAAGCCGGAAAAAAAGCGGCAGACAUCUUUAUUUAAAUCCCGCGGGGGAUAUUUAAAUCCCCCACGGAUUUCCCUAUUCUGAAGUUGAAAAUUAGCAUGCCCCUUCCGAAAAAGGGGCCAGUGUAGAAGUAGCCUUGGAGUCCAGGAAUAAUAAUCGAAAUCAUGGUUCGCUAAGAGUGCAGAACAGUUUGCAAUUCUAAGCUGCAGUGUGGCAGAGGAGUAUACUUUCCUACCAAACAUUAACUUUUUUGUGCUUUCUAUAGGUGUGGAUCUGAAUUGUGGAAGUUUGGAGAGGUUAUUGAUGGCUUGCAUUACCAGUGAGUUGGGCUGCGGAUGAAAGAAGAGGAAAUUAAGAUCCUUAGGAGGAACUAAGUACUUCCUAAUGGCUCUUUUACAGGGAAUGGAGAAACAGGAUGGAGGAGGGAGGUAACAAAUUCUAGGAGGUUUGCCUCAGGCAAGUGCUGCUGCUGUCCUACAACCCUCUCAAACAAAGAAGCUUCCUUUUUCUUUUCUUGGUAACCAGAACAAGGGGUAUAACUAAUGAAGAAUAACUACAAUACAAACUAGGAAAAUUCUAAGUAAAUACACGGAGGAGAGAGUGGAGCUCUGUCUGUGACCGAGGAUGGUAAGCGAGGAACUCGGGGGAGGGGAAGGGGUGUCAGGCUACAUGUGCACAAGGAGUGAACAGCGCCAGGCACCUAUCCUGCAUGUGCAGCCCAACUGACAACUGCUGUAAAAAAAGCUCACAUCUGCAGCUCCAGGGUAACCCAUCAUCAAGAGUGGAACACCACGGGGAAAUUACUUGUAAAAGAACGUUUCACUGCCCCACUGUUUUAGCAUCUAGUGAAUUCUGGCUCAUUAGGCAGGAUAUGGACAAAUAAUAAAUGCUUUUCAGCACA